This 497-nucleotide ribosomal RNA is filed under the name uncultured bacterium. Its description in RNAcentral is "partial 16S ribosomal RNA". It matches the Rfam family "Bacterial small subunit ribosomal RNA", at positions 28 to 507 of the family's 1533-position model. The record is from RNAcentral.
GAUGAACGCUGGCGGCGUGCCUAAUACAUGCAAGUCGAGCGAACGGACGAGAAGCUUUCUUCUCUGAUGUUAGCGGCGGACGGGCGAGUAACACGUGGAUAACCUACCUAUAAGACUGGGAUAACUUCGGGAAACCGGAGCUAAUACCGGAUAAUAUUUUGAACCGCAUGGUUCAAAAGUGAAAGACGGUCUUGCUGUCACUUAUAGAUGGAUCCGCGUUGCAUUAGCUAGUUGGUAAGGUAACGGCUUACCAAGGCAACGAUGCAUAGCCGACCUGAGAGGAUGAUCAGCCACACUGGAACUGAGACACGGUCCAGACUCCUACGGGAGGCAGCAGUAGGGAAUCUUCCGCAAUGGGCGCAAGCCUGACGGAGCAACGCCGCGUGAGUGAUGAAGGUCUUCGGAUCGUAAAACUCUGUUAUUAGGGAAGAACAUAUGCGUAAGUAACUGUGCACAUCUUGACGGUACCUAAUCAGAAAGCCACGGCUAACUACGUG